AUGUUCAGGAGCAUCCCAGCAGUUGCCUGUGAGAUUUUCCCGGGGACCAUCUUGAAGGCUGUUCCAUGUGCAAAAGUGUAUGUUCCUUUUACUACUGGGGAAGAACGGAGAUCAGGAGUGGAGUCACUCAAAGGCCCUCGUGGACUCCUUCUUGGAAAACUUGCCCUCAGCACGCCCCAUGGGCUGUCCAGAUGCCUCCACUCUGAACCCUGGAAAUGCCUCACACAUCAGCACCUGUACCGAGGACUCUGGAUCAACAUGCUUCCCAGUGCAGGGAUCGAGUCUCCCUCCCUGCAUUCCCAGUACAAGGUAGGAAGCCAGGCACCAAGGAAGCUAACAAUAGGUCUUAGCUGAUUUAGUAGAUUUCUUUAAUAAGAGACCAUUUGUUCCACAAUUAAAUAGGAAAAAUUAGCAUAUCAGUAUAAAUAAGGCAUUUUAAAAAACAUUAAUUGAGCUAUUAUUAUAUGCCUGGGAUUGUGCUAAUCCUUUCCUUGGAGUUUCCUGUUGAAUUUUCACAGCAACCUUAGGAGGCAGAUACUAUGAUCUCCAGGUUAGAAAUGAGGAAAUAAUUUCAGACAGGUGAACUUGCCCAGGAUCACAGCUAUUGUGCAGCAGAGCUGGGAGUUUCAGUUGGUAUACAAGUGAUGCUUCCAGAGCCUUCCUGAUUUGGGAAGAGGACAGCAAAAAUGUAGGUCACUGGGAAUCUAAAAGGAGAGAGGCUGUUACUAGUAGGAAAAAGGAAGUUAGAAAGAAAAGGCCACUGACAGAAAAAACAAACUAGUCUUCCCCAUUUUGGUCAGGCCUCAGUUUAACUGUGAGUGGGUAUUUAAAUCACAAGUGCAAGGCUGGAAGGUGGACACUGUAAAACUCUUGUUCCUCAGAUGCAUUCCAUUGAAUUCAACCCAACAUCAUUUAUUGAGGAUCUAUGGUAUGCCAGAAACAGUCCAAGAUGUCUGAUUUCCAAGUACAGACAAUAUAGAUCUCUUUGCCCAUAAGGAAUUCUCACUUUAGUGGGGCCAAGAGGUACACUGUCAACAGAUGCUCCAAGCACAACAGUAUGUGUUCUAUAAUCUAGGUAUGUAGUUAAAGCUGCGAAAGUGCAGAAAAGCUACGUUUUCCAGAGAAAUCUGAGAGGGUUUUACAGGUGAACCCUGACAUUUGAACUUGGCUUUGGUGCAUGCACAGAAGAUGGCCACGUGGAACAAGAAAAGUUGAGCAGUUGCAAAAGUAUAACUCAAAAGACAUAGUAAGGCUGGGCGUGGUGACUCACUCCUGUAAUCCCAGCAUUUUGGGGGACUGAGGCAGGUAGAUCACCUGAGGUCAGGAGUUCAAGACCAACCGGGCUAACAUGGUGAAACCCGUCUCUACAAAAAAUACAAAAAUUAGCCAGGCGUGACAGCGUGUGUCUGUAAUCCCAGCUACUUGGGAGACUGAGGUAGGAGAAUCGCUUGAACAUGGAAGGCAGAGGUUGCAGUGGGCUGAGAUUGUGCCACUACACUCCAGCCUGGGUGACAGACCAAUACUCCGUCUCACACACACACACACACACACACACACACACACACACACAUUCUCUCUCUCUCUCUCUCUCUCACUCUCACACACAAGAUAUGGUAGAUUGAGAACAAGCAAGGGAGUUGGGUCAUGGUAGGGUGGGGAGGGGGACAAGAUUGUAAAGGGUCCUCUAUACCACGCCAAGGAAUUCUGACCUUAUCCUGUGAAUUUAUAAGCAAGAGAAUGACAUAAUUAAAUGUGUAUUUUAGAAAAAAAACUUAAUGGCAACAUGGGGGGUUUGAAUGAGAGAACAGUUAGGAUUCUUACGAAAUGCAAAAUGAGAGUCCAGGGGCAGACCUGCACUGCGUAUGUAUGUGUUUAUGUUUAUGGAUAUGUAUGUGUGAGAAACAAUCUGUAGGACUUGGUGACGAACUGAAAAAGGAGAGUUUGAAAAAAGGGAAAAGUCAAUGGUCCCGGGUUUCUGGUUUAAGCAACUAGGUGACUUAAUUGAAUUAACAAAAACUGGAAACACAGAAACAGUUUUACCUUUGGUUUUGGUCACAAGGCAUGUAAAGUGCCAAAGGGACAUUCUUGUGGAGGCAGAAAUCAUAUAGGAGGCAUGAAAAUGUGACCCAAGAAGUCAGGUUAGGGAGAGAGCAGAGUAACAAUAUUAUCAUUUUAAAAAAAACGAAUGUGGGACUGCUGGACAACAUUAAAACACAUCUGGGAGGCAGAGUGGUGCAGUGGACAUGAGCUUUGGGGCUGAAGAAACCCAAGCUUCUUGACUUUGCCACUUAGUGCUGUGGCCUUGAGAAUGUGACCUACCCUUUCUGAAUCUCACAUGUGAAAUGAAGACAGUAUUAAUCUGUCUUCAGGGUCGGGCGCAGUGGCUCACGCCUGUAAUCCCAGCACUUUGGGAGGCUGAGGGGAGUGGAUCAUGAGGUCAAGAGAUCAAGACCAUCCUGGCCAACAUGGUGAAAUCCCAUCUCUAAUAAAAAUACAAAAAAUUACCUGGGCAUGGUGGCACCCACCUGUAAUUCUAGCUACUCAGGAGGCUGGGGCAGAAGAAUCACUUGAACCCAGAAGGCAGAGGUUGCAGUGAGCCCAGAUCGCACCACUGCACUCCAGCCUGGUGACAGAGCAAGACUCUGUCUCAAAAAAAAGUGUCUUCAGGGUUGUGUUCAGACUAGCAAUAGUGUAUGCAAACUUCCAACAGCGGUGGGCUGAGUAGGCACGCUGUGGUUUCUGUUGUUCAAGCACACAGAUGGAAAGGGUUGGGUUAAGGGUGGGGAAGCUGACUCACCUAUGUUUAAUAGAAAACAGGGAAGAGACGAUUUGCCAGAAGUGCCUGCAGUAAGGCAAGGUGCUGUUACUAUUCCUAGAGAAAGGGAUCUUCAGGUUCCAGAAAUAGGUGUUUGGGGUAGGAAAAAGUCCAUACCACCUUUUCUAUUUGAUCCCUCUAGUCACUCUCAAAGGACUGAAGUCAUUGUAUUGUUCUGGUUGGUUUUCAGGGUAACCUGUCUAUGCCCCUUUCCUGCUCCCUCCCCAAGAAAGAAUGAAGUGGGAGAGAGAAGGAAUAAGGCACCAAUCAGUGGACACGUAGACCAUCCCUAUCUUCUUAUUAAUACUUGGACUCCCUUUCAGGUGUGAUCCAUUCUUUCAUUUUAUAAUAGAGAAAGAAAUAAAUGACAUUCAUUGAUUUCAAAUUAUAAUCAGUUCAUUAAGGAAAAAUUAUUAAAAUGAGGUCCUUUUCUACUUUGAUUAGAAGAAAAAAUGAAAAUGGUAGGCGAGAUUUGAAUACAGGAAAUGUAUGGACAGUGGGAGGGUUGUUUAAAAAAGGAGGGGGGGUUGUAAAGAGUAGGAACACAGAAAACACACUUCAGAGUUUCCCAUUGUUGGUUUCCAAUAUUUGACAAACAUUAGCUGCAUGUAAGAUUUUUGUUGUACAAAUCUGCCAACAAUGGCAACUGUGCAUCUAGAAAUCUGUGAAGCUAUUGUUGUCAUUGUUGUUGACUUUAUUCUAAAAGGUUUCCUCUCUGAGAAUCUACAAAACUAUCAUAGCUCUCUCUACUUUCCUAAAUGCCAGAGCUCCCCAGGUGUCAACAUUCAGUGCAAUUGAGCACACUCCUAUGCAUUGUAUACUAGAUGCCAGACACUGCCCUAGGAGUAGGAUGGAGAAAAGGGAGCCGCUCUCCUCUCCUCAAGGAGCUUCCAGUGUGGAGAGAGUGAAAGCAGCUGUGGGGAUGUGUGAAGAUAAGGAUGAGGGAAGCAGAGGAACAAUGGCCACAGAAACAAAUAUAUUGUUUAAUUCCCACAGAUGACCUGGGCCUUGACCCAUUUGCAACCAUUACGUAAUCACUGAAGCAAGUUCAGCUAAAUUAUUCAAAAAUCUCUGAAUGCCAAUUCCAUUUAAUUUUAAAUAACAAGCAUCUCUGAGAGGGAUGAUUUUUGGAACAAUGACUAAGGGAAAAUAUUUUUCCAGCAGGGUUUUUGCACAGGAAAAAAAUUCAUUGCUUCCAUCCCUACAUCCCACACCCCACAUUCCACACCCCUUGGUGUAAAAAUAUUUGUAUUUAAAUA
Molecule: long non-coding RNA, 4074 nt
Organism: Callithrix jacchus (white-tufted-ear marmoset)
Lineage: Eukaryota; Metazoa; Chordata; Mammalia; Primates; Cebidae
Source: Ensembl